AACGAACGCUGGCGGCAUGCCUAACACAUGCGAGUCGAACGAGACCUUCGGGUUUGGUGGCGAACGGGUGCGUAACGCGUGGGAACAUGCCCUUAGGUUCGGCAUAACUCCCCGAAAGGGGUUCUAAUAACGGAUACUGUUUUCGGACCAAAGAUGUAUCGCCUUUGGGUGGGCCGGCGUUGGUUUAGCUAGUUGGUAGGGUAAACGCCUACCAAGGCGACGAUCCAUAGCUGGGCUGAGAGGAGGAUCAGCCACACUGGGACUGAGACACGGCCCAGACGCCUACGGGAGGCAGCAGAGGGGAAUAUAGGAGAGUGGGCGUAAGGCUGAUCCAGCAAGGGCGCGUGAGUGAUGAAGGCCUUAGGGUUGGAAAGCGCUUUUACCCGAGAUGAUAAUGACAGUACCGGGAGAAUAAGCACCGGCUAACUCCGUG
This 433-nucleotide ribosomal RNA is filed under the name uncultured bacterium. Its description in RNAcentral is "partial 16S ribosomal RNA". It matches the Rfam family "Bacterial small subunit ribosomal RNA", at positions 29 to 507 of the family's 1533-position model. The record is from RNAcentral.